GUCCACGCCCUAAACGAUGUUUACUUGCUGUUUGUCUUUCGGGAUGAGUGGCGAAGCGAAAGCGAUAAGUAAACCACCUGGGGAGUACGCCCGCAAGGGUGAAACUCAAAGGAAUUGACGGGGUCCGCACAAGCGGUGGAGCAUGUGGUUUAAUUCGAUGAUACGCGAGGAACCCUACCUAGGCUAGAAUGCGAGUGACCGGUAUUGAAAGAUACUUUUCCGCAAGGACACAAAGCAAGGUGCUGCAUGGCUGUCGU
RNAcentral lists this ribosomal RNA (257 nucleotides) under uncultured bacterium. RNAcentral describes it as "partial 16S ribosomal RNA". It matches the Rfam family "Bacterial small subunit ribosomal RNA", at positions 793 to 1055 of the family's 1533-position model. The record is from RNAcentral.